This 253-nucleotide ribosomal RNA is filed under the name uncultured bacterium. Its description in RNAcentral is "partial 16S ribosomal RNA". It matches the Rfam family "Bacterial small subunit ribosomal RNA", at positions 524 to 776 of the family's 1533-position model. The record is from RNAcentral.
UACGUAGGGGGCAAGCGUUGUCCGGAUUUAUUGGGCGUAAAGAGCGUGUAGGCGGCCAGAUAGGUCAGCUGUGAAAACUCGAGGCUCAACCUCGAGACGUCGGUUGAAACCAUCUGGCUAGAGUCCGGAAGAGGAGAGUGGAAUUCCCGGUGUAGCGGUGAAAUGCGCAGAUAUCGGGAAGAACACCCGUGGCGAAGGCGGCUCUCUGGGACGGUACUGACGCUGAGGCGCGACAGCGUGGGGAGCAAACAGG